UGGGGAAUUUUGGACAAUGGGGGCAACCCUGAUCCAGCCAUUCCGCGUGAGUGAAGAAGGCCUUCGGGUUGUAAAGCUCUUUCGGACGGAACGAAAUGGUUAGGCCUAAUACGCCUGACUGAUGACGGUACCGUAAGAAGAAGCACCGGCUAACUACGUGCCAGCAGCCGCGGUAAUACGUAGGGUGCGAGCGUUAAUCGGAAUUACUGGGCGUAAAGCGUGCGCAGGCGGCGGCUCAAGUCAGGUGUGAAAUCCCCGGGCUCAACCUGGGAAUUGCGCUUGAAACUAGGUCGCUAGAGUGUGGCAGAGGGGGGUGGAAUUCCACGUGUAGCAGUGAAAUGCGUAGAGAUGUGGAGGAACACCGAUGGCGAAGGCAGCCCCCUGGGUCAACACUGACGCUCAGGCACGAAAGCGUGGGGAGCAAACAGG
RNAcentral lists this ribosomal RNA (429 nucleotides) under uncultured bacterium. RNAcentral's name for it is "bacterial SSU rRNA". It matches the Rfam family "Bacterial small subunit ribosomal RNA", at positions 355 to 776 of the family's 1533-position model. The record is from RNAcentral.